AAUCCAUAGGUUAAUGAGGCGAACCGGGGGAACUGAAACAUCUAAGUACCCCGAGGAAAAGAAAUCAACCGAGAUUCCCCCAGUAGCGGCGAGCGAACGGGGAGGAGCCCAGAGCCUGAAUCAGCAUGUGUGUUAGUGGAAGCGUCUGGAAAGGCGCGCGAUACAGGGUGACAGCCCCGUACACAAAAGCGCAUGUGCUGUGAGCUCGAUGAGUAGGGCGGGACACGUGGUAUCCUGUCUGAAUAUGGGGGGACCAUCCUCCAAGGCUAAAUACUCCUGACUGACCGAUAGUGAACCAGUACCGUGAGGGAAAGGCGAAAAGAACCCCGGCGAGGGGAGUGAAAAAGAACCUGAAACCGUGUACGUACAAGCAGUGGGAGCACAGGUUUACCUGUGUGACUGCGUACCUUUUGUAUAAUGGGUCAGCGACUUAUAUUCUGUAGCAAGGUUAACCGUAUAGGGGAGCCGGAGGGAAACCGAGUCUUAAUUGGGCGUUAAGUUGCAGGGUAUAGACCCGAAACCCGGUGAUCUAGCCAUGGGCAGGUUGAAGGUUGGGUAACACUAACUGGAGGACCGAACCGACUAAUGUUGAAAAAUUAGCGGAUGACCUGUGGCUGGGGGUGAAAGGCCAAUCAAACCGGGAGAUAGCUGGUUCUCCCCGAAAGCUAUUUAGGUAGCGCCUCGUGAAUUCAUCUCCGGGGGUAGAGCACUGUUUCGGCUAGGGGGCCAUCCCGGCUUACCAACCCGAUGCAAACUGCGAAUACCGGAGAAUGUUAUCACGGGAGACACACGGCGGGUGCUAACGUCCGUCGUGAAGAGGGAAACAACCCAGACCGCCAGCUAAGGUCCCAAAGUCAUGGUUAAGUGGGAAACGAUGUGGGAAGGCCCAGACAGCCAGGAUGUUGGCUUAGAAGCAGCCAUCAUUUAAAGAAAGCGUAAUAGCUCACUGGUCGAGUCGGCCUGCGCGGAAGAUGUAACGGGGCUAAACCAUGCACCGAAGCUGCGGCAGCGAACGUAUCACCCAAGACAACUUUACGGAGUUGACGAUUGACGGAGCGAAGCGACGUCAAAGCGUUCAUUAAAGUCGAGUUGGCUUAGGGAUACGUUCGUUGGGUAGGGGAGCGUUCUGUAAGCCUGUGAAGGUGUGUCGUGAGGCAUGCUGGAGGUAUCAGAAGUGCGAAUGCUGACAUAAGUAACGAUAAAGCGGGUGAAAAGCCCGCUCGCCGGAAGACCAAGGGUUCCUGUCCAACGUUAAUCGGGGCAGGGUGAGUCGACCCCUAAGGCGAGGCCGAAAGGCGUAGUCGAUGGGAAACGGGUUAAUAUUCCCGUACUUGGUGUUACUGCGAAGGGGGGACGGAGAAGGCUAUGUUGGCCGGGCGACGGUUGUCCCGGUUUAAGCGUGUAGGCUGGUUUUCCAGGCAAAUCCGGAAAAUCAAG
Molecule: ribosomal RNA, 1437 nt
Filed under: Salmonella enterica subsp. enterica serovar Coeln
Lineage: Bacteria; Pseudomonadati; Pseudomonadota; Gammaproteobacteria; Enterobacterales; Enterobacteriaceae
Description: partial 23S ribosomal RNA
Rfam family: Bacterial large subunit ribosomal RNA
Source: RNAcentral